Molecule: non-coding RNA, 323 nt
Organism: Pelobates cultripes (western spadefoot toad)
Lineage: Eukaryota; Metazoa; Chordata; Amphibia; Anura; Pelobatidae
Source: the annotation of a GenBank genome assembly
CACCCUCAGGGACCCCCUCCCGCCCGACUCUGGAAGGGGGAAAGGGGUAAAAACUUACCUUUUUCCAGCGCUGGGCGGAGAGCUCUCCUCCUUCUCUCCUCCUCCGUUACGCCCCGCCGGCUGAAUGCGCACGCGCGGCAAGAGCUGCGCGCGCAUUCAGCCGGUCUCAUAGGAAAGCAUUUACAAUGCUUUCCUAUGAACGCUGGCGUGCUCUCACUGUGAAAAUCACAGUGAGAAGCACGCAAGCGCCUCUAGUGGCUGUCAAUGAGACAGCCACUAGAGGCUUUGGGGGAAGGCUUAACCCAUUCAUAAUUAUAGCAGUU